This 253-nucleotide ribosomal RNA is filed under the name uncultured bacterium. RNAcentral's name for it is "partial 16S ribosomal RNA". It matches the Rfam family "Bacterial small subunit ribosomal RNA", at positions 524 to 776 of the family's 1533-position model. The record is from RNAcentral.
UACGGGGGGGGCAAGCGUUGUUCGGAAUUACUGGGCGUAAAGGGCGCGUAGGCGGUUCGUUAAGUCCUGUGUGAAAUCCCCCGGCUCAACUGGGGAACUGCACAGGAAACUAGCGGGCUUGAGUUCGGGAGAGGGAAGCGGAAUUCCGGGUGUAGCGGUGAAAUGCGUAGAUAUCCGGAGGAACACCGGUGGCGAAGGCGGCUUCCUGGACCGACACUGACGCUGAGGCGCGAAAGCUAGGGGAGCAAACGGG